Molecule: ribosomal RNA, 782 nt
Filed under: uncultured Bacteroidota bacterium
Lineage: Bacteria; Pseudomonadati; Bacteroidota
Description: bacterial SSU rRNA
Rfam family: Bacterial small subunit ribosomal RNA
Source: RNAcentral
AGAGUUUGAUCCUGGCUCAGGAUGAACGCUAGCGGCAGGCUUAACACAUGCAAGUCGAGGGGUAACAGGGAUUAGUUUACUAAUUUGCUGACGACCGGCGCACGGGUGAGUAACGCGUAUACAAUUUGCCUUUUACAGGAGGAUAGCCCAGAGAAAUUUGGAUUAAUACUCCAUGGUAUUAUAAGAUCGCAUGGUUUUAUAAUUAAAGUUUCGGCGGUAGAAGAUGAGUAUGCGUCCUAUCAGCUAGUUGGUAAGGUAACGGCUUACCAAGGCGACGAUAGGUAGGGGUCCUGAGAGGGAGAUCCCCCACACUGGUACUGAGACACGGACCAGACUCCUACGGGAGGCAGCAGUGAGGAAUAUUGGUCAAUGGAGGCAACUCUGAACCAGCCAUGCCGCGUGCAGGAAGACUGCCCUAUGGGUUGUAAACUGCUUUUAUACAGGAAGAAACUUAUCCACGUGUGGAUAACUGACGGUACUGUACGAAUAAGGACCGGCUAACUCCGUGCCAGCAGCCGCGGUAAUACGGAGGGUCCAAGCGUUAUCCGGAAUCAUUGGGUUUAAAGGGUCCGUAGGCGGGCGAUUAAGUCAGAGGUGAAAUCCCACAGCUCAACUGUGGAACUGCCUUUGAUACUGGUUGUCUUGAGUUACAGUGGAAGUAGAUAGAAUAUGUAGUGUAACCGGUGAAAUGCAUAGAUUUUACAUAGAAUACCCGAUUGCGAAGGCAGUCUACUAACUGCCACUGACCUUAGGGACGAAAGCGUGGGGGCGAACAGGGAUAA